GACGAACCGAGCGAACGUUAUUCGGAAUCACUGGGCUUAAAGGGCGCGUAGGCGGGCGGCCAAGUCAGAGGUGAAAGCCUCCAGCUCAACUGGAGAAGUGCCUUUGAUACUGGUCAUCUUGAGGGAGAUAGGGGCGUGCGGAACUUCCGGUGGAGCGGUGAAAUGCGUAGAUAUCGGAAGGAACACCGGUGGCGAAAGCGGCGCGCUGGAUCUCUUCUGACGCUGAGGCGCGAAAGCCAGGGGAGCGAACGGG
This 253-nucleotide ribosomal RNA is filed under the name uncultured bacterium. Its description in RNAcentral is "partial 16S ribosomal RNA". It matches the Rfam family "Bacterial small subunit ribosomal RNA", at positions 524 to 776 of the family's 1533-position model. The record is from RNAcentral.